CACUCCUACGGGAGGCAGCAGUGGGGAAUAUUGCACAAUGGGCGCAAGCCUGAUGCAGCGACGCCGCGUGGGGGAUGAAGGCCUUCGGGUUGUAAACUCCUUUCGCUAGGGACGAAGCUUUUUUGUGACGGUACCUAGAUAAGAAGCACCGGCUAACUACGUGCCAGCAGCCGCGGUAAUACGUAGGGUGCGAGCGUUGUCCGGAAUUACUGGGCGUAAAGGGCUCGUAGGUGGUUUGUCGCGUCGUCUGUGAAAUUCUGGGGCUUAACUCCGGGCGUGCAGGCGAUACGGGCAUAACUUGAGUGCUGUAGGGGUAACUGGAAUUCCUGGUGUAGCGGUGAAAUGCGCAGAUAUCAGGAGGAACACCGAUGGCGAAGGCAGGUUACUGGGCAGUUACUGACGCUGAGGAGCGAAAGCAUGGGUAGCGAACAGGAUUAGAAACCCCGGUAGUCCCAUGAU
Molecule: ribosomal RNA, 459 nt
Filed under: uncultured organism
Description: partial 16S ribosomal RNA
Rfam family: Bacterial small subunit ribosomal RNA
Source: RNAcentral